Molecule: long non-coding RNA, 1174 nt
Filed under: Monodelphis domestica (gray short-tailed opossum)
Lineage: Eukaryota; Metazoa; Chordata; Mammalia; Didelphimorphia; Didelphidae
Description: lncRNA (ENSMODG00000039616.1)
Source: RNAcentral
UCCUAGAGAAUUCUGAGACCCUAAAGCAGAGGGCAGAGGGUGAUUGGGAUUCUUUCUUUCUUUCUUUCUUUCUUUCUUUCUUUCUUUCUUUCUUUCUUUCUUUCUUUCUUUCUUUCUUUCUUUCUUUCUUUCUUUCUUUCUUUCUUCCUUCCUUCCUUCCUUCCUUCCUUCCUUCCUUCCUUCCUUCCUUCCUUCCUUCCUUCCUUCCUUUCUUUCUUUCUUUCUUUCUUCUUCCUUCCUUCCUUCUUUUCUUUCUUUCUUUCUUUCUUUCUUUCUUUCUUUCUUUCUUUCUUUCUUUCUUUCUUUCUUCUUCCUUCCUUCCUUCCUUACUUCCUUCCUUCCUUCCUUCCUUCCUUCCUUCCUCCCUCCCUCCCUCCUUCCUCCUUCCUUCCUUCCUUCCUUCCUUCCUUCCUUCCUUCCUUCCUUCCUUCCUUCCUUCCUUCCUUCCUUCCUUCCUUCCUUCCUUCCUUCCUUCCUUCCUUCCUUCCUUCCUUCCUUCCUUCCUUCCUUCCUUUCUUUUUUAAAAUUCUGCUUGUAUCCUGUCUUAAUUGUCAGGGAAGGCUUCACUUGGUCUAGUUUCUGGAAUGUGGAAUCAGAGUUGAGGAGCCAGGGGCCACAUUUGGGAUUAAAAAACAAACCAACUUAUUUCCAGUCAAGAUUUUGACACAUAUGAUCCAUGUAACAAUGGUCAAGGCACAACCUCUUGCUGAUCCAGACAAUAUUUUAACUCUAAAUUACAAAUCAGUUGCUUUUCUACAUUGAUAGGUAAGGGAAUUUCCACAACCAGAAUUCUCCAUACUGAUGAAAUCAUAUGUAAUAAGGGGAAUGAAAUUAUGCUGUUAUAGCCCUCUCCUGAAAAAAAAAAAAGAAAAAGAAUGAAAAAAUAAUAGAUGAAGCAGCAUAGUAUAGUCAGUAAAGUGCUAAACAAGGAGUCAAGAAGACCUGGAUUCAAAUCUUGCCUUAGACAUUUCUAGCUGCCUGUCCUCCCUGGUUAAAUUAAUUAAUCUCACUGUGAGUCAGUUUCCUCAUCUGUAAAAUGAGGGGACUGGAUUCAGUGAACUCUGUAGUCCCUGAGAGCUCUAAAUCUAUUAAUAAUAGUGGCCAUUAUCUAUUCUCUUUAGAGGAUAGUUACCUAUUGAAAGUAUUAUCCUUAAUCUUUAAAAAAUUGUAUUCA